This 443-nucleotide ribosomal RNA is filed under the name uncultured bacterium. RNAcentral describes it as "partial 16S ribosomal RNA". It matches the Rfam family "Bacterial small subunit ribosomal RNA", at positions 338 to 795 of the family's 1533-position model. The record is from RNAcentral.
CCUACGGGAGGCAGCAGUGGGGAAUAUUGGGCAAUGGGCGCAAGCCUGACCCAGCAACGCCGCGUGAAGGAAGAAGGCUUUCGGGUUGUAAACUUCUUUUUUCAGGGACGAAGAAAGUGACGGUACCUGAGGAAUAAGCCACGGCUAACUACGGGCCAGCAGCCGCGGCAAUACGUAGGGGGCAAGCGUUAUCCGGAUUUACUGGGUGUAAAGGGCGUGUAGGCGGGAAAGCAAGUCAGAUGUGAAAACCAUGGGCUCAACCUGUGGCCUGCAUUUGAAACUGUUUUUCUUGAGUACUGGAGAGGCAGGCGGAAUUCCUAGUGUAGCGGUGAAAUGCGUAGAUAUUAGGAGGAACACCAGUGGCGAAGGCGGUCUGCUGGACAGCAACUGACGCUGAGGCGCGAAAGCGUGGGGAGCAAACAGGAUUAGAUACCCUAGUAGUC